Molecule: ribosomal RNA, 2101 nt
Filed under: Haemoproteus syrnii
Lineage: Eukaryota; Apicomplexa; Aconoidasida; Haemosporida; Haemoproteidae
Description: SSU rRNA
Rfam family: Eukaryotic small subunit ribosomal RNA
Source: RNAcentral
UUGUCUAAAGGAUUAAGCCAUGCAUGCGAAAGUACAGACUUAUUUAAGUAGUCGAAACUGCGAACGGCUCCUUACAACAGUUAUAAUCUACUUGGGAGUUUAAUAUGGAUAACUACGGAAACACUGUAGCUAAUACAUCGUACCAGCUGAAGUAUGUACUUUUUUUAGGUAUGUAGUUUAGGGGGCAACUCGUUGGGUUUGCAGCCACCCGCAUUAAAGGGGAGUGACAACGAGGGAGCUACGCGUCAACUUUUAUUUGUCUAAAGGUUGUUUUUAGCGCGUACCAAAUGAGUUUCUGAUCUAUCAGCUGGUCGCCAAGGUAUUGUCUUGGUGUGGCUAUGACGGAUAACGGGGAAUUAGAGUUCGAUUCCGGAGAGGGCGCCUGAGAGAUGGCGACUAUAACUACGGUUAGCAGCAGGCGCGAAAAUUGCCCAAUGUCGACAAGACGAGGCAGCGACCAGACAUACCGAGGCUCCGUCUUUUUUCAAGGUGGAGUCAUUGGAUUCGAUUUCCUUUAAACUAGGAGAUGAGAGGCAGUUUAGAUCAAGUUGAAGUGCCAGCAUUCGCGGUAAUACUUCCUUAAACGAAUGUAUGUUAAAGUUGUUGCGGUUAAAACGCUCGUAGUUGAUUGUCCCGAAGAGAUUGAUUUGUCUUUUGCUUUUUUCGGAAGGCUUCGGAUGGAUUGAUUUCUAUCGGAUCGUCUUUAUAGAGUUCCUUAUUUUCGGAUGAGGUUUCUUUAGAGAUGUGUUACCUUGAGUAAAUUAGAGUGUUCCAAGCAGGCUUGUCUGUUUGAAUAUCCCAGCAUGGAAUAACUUAAUUGCGCGACGUUUCAUUAAUCCUGUAAAAAAGGAGUGUGUGGUGCGUUUUGAGGGUUAACUCUCAGAACGUCGUAUAUCGCUGCAUGAAACGUGGUGCCGAUUAAUAGGAGCAGUUGGGGGCAUCCGUACUCCGAAGCUAGAGGUGAAAUUCUGUGACUUUCGGAAGACGAACGACUGCGAAGGCACUUGCCCAAAAUGCGUCCAUUAAUCAAGAGCGAAGUUAUGGGCAUCGAAAAAGAUCAGAGACCUUUGUAAUCCAUAAAGUAAACUAUGCCAUCCGGGGCGGAGUAGGCAACGAAGGUUUGAAUCGGUUGUUUUGCACAUGCAAGUGUGUUUUGGAAUCGUUUUGGACCGCCAUGUGUUUGUUCUGCCCCCGUGAGAAAUCCGAGAUUUUGGGUUCCGGGGCGAGUAUAAGCGCAAGCUAGAAAGUUAAAAGAAUUGACGGAGGGGCACCACAAAGCGUGGAGCUUGCGGCUUAAUUUGACUCAACACGGGAAACCUCACUAGCGUAGGACAGCGGAAGGAUUGACAGGGUUGCAGACCUUUCUUGAUUCGCUGGAGGGUGAUGCAUGGCCGUUCCUAGCUCUUGGCGUGGGCUGUCUGGUUAAUUCCGAUAACGAGCGGGACCUCCCCUUUCACUUCCGCCGGGUGUCAUCCUCUCGAGAAGAUUUUUCUUAGGGGGCCUUUUUUUUGUUGUCCUCAUUACCCCAUCUACCUUUAUCGUUUGUUUCUUUUGCAAAAAAAAAGGAGCAUCGGCAAAGUGUUGGAUUGUGUGUGAGUGUACACGGAAAAGUUGUUCUUUUCCUAUGAGCAAUGUUUUCGAGGACACUUAUUUUUUCUGUUUGCGAGUGUGAAGGGACGUCACGUGUCUAACGUGAGGCAGGGAGGCAACAACAGGUCUGUGAUGUCCUCAGAUAUGCUAGGCUGCACGCGUGCUACACUGACGUGCGCAACGGGCGAAGCGUACAUUUUUUUUCUGCUUUAUUUUUCUAUUAGAAAGGUAGAGUAGAACAAAUGUUUGCCUUUCCUGAGAAGGUAAGGGAAUCCCUAAUGCGCGUCGUGACGGGGAUCGAAUCUUGCAAUUAGGAUUCUUGAACGAGGAAUGCUUAGUAAGCGCAACUCAUUAGGUUGCGCUGUAUGCGUAACUGCCCUUUGCACACACCGCCCGUCGUUGCUUUUAAUGGAGUGCCAAGUGACUUGCUUGGAGGGUUGUCGAUAGGUUUUUUUUUUUUCUUAUGGAUCUAUCGCACCAAAGCGCUGGGAACUUUGUACUCUAGAGAAAG